Molecule: ribosomal RNA, 484 nt
Filed under: uncultured bacterium
Lineage: Bacteria
Description: partial 16S ribosomal RNA
Rfam family: Bacterial small subunit ribosomal RNA
Source: RNAcentral
AUUGAACGCUGGCGGCAUGCUUUACACAUGCAAGUCGAACGGCCGCGCGGGCUUCUGCCUGGCGGCGCGUGGCGAACGGGUGAGUAAUACAUCGGAACGUACCCAGUAGAGGGGGAUAGCUCGACGAAAGCAGGAUUGAUCCCGCAUACGACCUGAUGGUGAAAGCGGUGGAUCUUCGGACCUCGCGCUUUUUGAGCGGCCGAUGGCAGAUUAGUUAGUUGGUGGGGUAAAGGCCUAACAAGGCGACGAUCUGUAGCUGGUCUGAGAGGACGACCAGCCACACUGGGACUGAGACACGGCCCAGACUCCUACGGGAGGCAGCAGUGGGGAAUUUUGGACAAUGGGCGAAAGCCUGAUCCAGCAAUGCCGCGUGUGUGAUGAAGGCCUUCGGGUUGUAAAGCACUUUUGGCGGGAACGAAAAGGACUGUGCCAAUACCACGGUUCGAUGACGGUACCCGAAGAAUAAGCACCGGCUAACUACGUG